ACGGAAGGCAGCAGUGGGGAAUAUUGCACAAUGGGGGAAACCCUGAUGCAGCGAUGCCGCGUGGAGGAAGAAGGUUUUCGGAUUGUAAACUCCUGUCUUAAAGGACGAUAAUGACGGUACUUUAGGAGGAAGCUCCGGCUAACUACGUGCCAGCAGCCGCGGUAAUACGUAGGGAGCGAGCGUUGUCCGGAAUUACUGGGUGUAAAGGGAGCGUAGGCGGGAUGGUAAGUCAGAUGUGAAAUGCAGGAGCUCAACUCCUGAGCUGCAUUUGAAACUGCUGUUCUUGAGUGAAGUAGAGGUAAGCGGAACUCCUGGUGUAGCGGUGAAAUGCGUAGAUAUCAGGAGGAACACCGGUGGCGAGGGCGGCUUACUGGGCUUUUACUGACGCUGAGGCUCGAAAGCGUGGGUAGCAAACAGGAUUGAUACCCUGGUA
Molecule: ribosomal RNA, 433 nt
Filed under: uncultured Ruminococcus sp.
Lineage: Bacteria; Bacillati; Bacillota; Clostridia; Eubacteriales; Oscillospiraceae
Description: bacterial SSU rRNA
Rfam family: Bacterial small subunit ribosomal RNA
Source: RNAcentral